Molecule: ribosomal RNA, 164 nt
Filed under: uncultured Eustigmatophyceae
Lineage: Eukaryota; Eustigmatophyceae
Description: partial 18S ribosomal RNA
Rfam family: Eukaryotic small subunit ribosomal RNA
Source: RNAcentral
GACCAGNCGCGCGCUCACUGAUGCGUUCNACGAGUCUAUAACCUUGGCCGGAAGGUCCGGGUAAUCUUGGAAUGCGCAUCGUGAUAGGGAUAGAUUAUUGCAACUAUUAAUCUUGAACGAGGAAUUCCUAGUAAACGCGAGUCAUCAGCUCGCAUUGAUUACGU